Long non-coding RNA from Leopardus geoffroyi (Geoffroy's cat), 857 nucleotides. RefSeq lists it as uncharacterized. The record is from RefSeq and is a predicted model, not a curated record. The transcript has 2 exons. NCBI's taxonomy places the organism in Eukaryota, Metazoa, Chordata, Mammalia, Carnivora, Felidae.
AAGACAAAUCCAACUCAAAGACGGCUCUUGGAGAGGGUGGGAAGGGAUGGCUCCCUGCUCUACCCAGGGCACACAACAGGAGACCCUCCUCUCCUCUCCAUAGCUCCCUUCUGAUGCUGCCACUGUGUGACAUUCUAGGCCUGGAGCCCUCUUCCUGGGAUGACCAAACCAAAACCCUUUGGGACUUCAUUCAAGCAAACACUUCUAGAGGGCUGCGUGCAGUAAGGCGCAUACGGUAUGGAAAUCAUAAGUGAAAAGACUAGCUUGGUGGACAUUACCUGAAGCCCCCUGCCAGGACUUUCAGGAAGCCCACUCAUCCAUGUCGUCAUGGUGUAGCCCCUGAGCCCAUCCCUGCAGGGGUGCCUUCCCGAGCUCUAACGCAGGGGCUCCUUCCCUUCCUGCUGCACCGGGGUCCUUGGCCAGCUUAAGUGGUGCUAAAGGCCAGCAGGCUUCCUGAAGCGUCGUAUGAACUAAACAACUCAAAAAGUCCCUGGUUUUCUGCCGAAGUUACUCCUGUCUGCUCCUGUUUCUGGACUGGGGGGGUGGUGAGACCUGCCGUCUUGAUUCUCAGGAUGGGUUUGAGACCUUUUGAGUGGCCGUGCCAAACCCAAACACCCUCCCUGCUCCAAGUAAGGCACGCAAGCUGAACACAAAAGUGUGCUGUAAAAUUAGAAUUUUCCCUUGAAUAUGUGCUUUUAUAAGGUCUGCUGCAUUCUGCAGUGUGAUUUUAUUACGUCUUAGGGCCAAAAAUUCUCCCUAGAAACACAUUUCCAAGUUUAUAAUGAAAAUUAAUAAGGAAGAGUAAAACUUGGAAAUAUGCUUUAUAGGCAACUUUUUUUUUUUUUUUUUUUCCCCCA